CUUUCCUUCCUUUCUUUUUGGUUUAGAGAAGCCCUUUCAAUAUUUCCUUUAACCUGGGUUUUGUGUUGCUGUAUUCUUUAAGUUUUUGUUUGUUGGGAAAAAUUUUUAUUUCCCCUUCUAUUUUAAAUGAUAUUCUUUCUGGAUAGAGUAUUCUAGGUUGCAUAUUUUUUCCUUUGAGCACUUUAAAUAUCUCUUGCCAUUCCCUCCUGGCCUGUAGUGUUUGUGUAGAGAAAUCAGCUGAUAUUCUUAUGGGGGUUCCCUUGUAGGUAACAUUCUGUUUUUCUCUUGCUGCCUUUAGGAUCCUCUCUUUAUUACUAACUUUUGCCAUUUUUAUUAUGAUGUGUCUUGGUGUGGGUCUGUUUGGGUUCAGUUUGUUUGGGGCCCUCUGUGCUUCUUGUAUCUUGAACCCAGUAUCCUUUAGAUUUGGGAAGUUUCCAUCGAUAAUUUCUUCAAAUGUAUUUUCCACCCCCUUAUCUUUUUCUACUCCUUCUGGAAUACCUAUUAUGCAUAGAUUGGCCCACUUUAUAUUAUCCCAUAGGUCUCUUAUAUUGCUUUCCAGUUUUUUGAUUCGGUUUUCUGUCUGUUGACUGGAUUGAGUGAUUUCCAGUAUUCUAUCUUCCAUAUCACUGAUUCGUUCUUCUGCAUCAUUCAUUCUGGUUUUUACUGCCCCUAGUUCAGUUUGCAUCUCUGCAAAUGAAUGUUCUAGUUUUUCUUGGCUCCUCCUUAUGUUUUCUAGUUCCUUUCUGAGGGUAUCUGCAUUACUGUUCAUAUCUUCUCUUAAUUCCUUCAUUAUUUUCCCUAUUUCUCUUUUGAACUCCAGGUCUGUCAGACUGCCGAGAUCUGUUUGAUUGUUGACUGUUUUAGGUGAGUUCUCCUGUUGGUUUGACUGGGGUGGUUUCUCAGCUUCUUCAUCUUGCUUGUUGUUUUCUUUCUCCUGAGGGAGUUGUCCUCUCUGUUAUCAGGCAGUGUUUGCCUUGUCACUGCCGUGGAAUAUUUCCUGAGGGCUGGCAUUGUUGGUCAAUCUUUUUUGAGGCAGUGUGGCUUUUCUGGAGUGUUGAUGGGGCUAACAGUGUUUCUUUGAAGCAAAGGAGGACUUCCUGAGGGCAGACAGGACUGGGAGGUCCACACCAUGAUGGUAGCAGAUUUCACUUGGUCAUGCAGAGCUUGCUCUGGUGUUUUUAGGCUGUGGGGUUCUUACAGGGGGUUGGCAGUGUUGGGCAGCUGUUCCUCAGGAGUGCAGCACCCCCUGGGGGCUGGAGCAGCUAUCUGGGUCACUGAGAACCUAAGAGGCUCUUCCCUAGGGCAGCCCAAAUCAGAAGGACGGCCUGAGAAUAUAGGCGGAUCUUUUCACAGUCUGGCCGAGCUUGUUGCAGCUUUUCUGGGCUGCAGGGGCUCUUCUAGGGGGCUGGUGGUGCUGAGCAGCUAUUCCGCAGGACUGGGGCACCCCCUAGGGGUUUGGGCGGGUAGCAGAGCCACUGGAAACCCAAGAGGCUCCUCCCCAGGGCAGCCCGACUCAGAAAGACCUUCUGAGAUCUUUUCCCGACUCGGCCGAGCUUGUUGCAGCUUUUCUGGGCUGCAGGGGGUCCUGCCUGGAGCUGGCAGUCCUAUGCAGCUGAUCCACUAGGGCACCCCCUGGGGGCUUGGGCAGGUAGCAGGGCCGUUGGAAACCGAAGAGGCUCCUCCCCAGGGCAGCCCGACUCAGAAAAACCGUCUGAGAAUUAGGCAGAUCUAUUCACUGCCUGGCUAGGCUUGUUCUAGCUUUUCUGGGCUGCAGGCCUUUUCUCGGGGGCUGGUGGUGUUUGGUGCUACUCUGCAGAAUUGUAGCCCCUCCAAAGGGCAAGCAGGCCUGUGCAGGGAAAGCCCCUGCAGUGGUAGGCUUCAGGUGAUUGUUGAGGCCAGCCCUCCUGGAUGGCAGGCAGCCCCAGGUUCGGGAGAGCAUAGGGGGUGGUGGGGAUGGGGGGAGGGGAUGCACUGGGAAGCACAGCUUUCAGCUAGCUAGCGGGCCUGUAAGCUUGCUGUGGUGUGGGGAGUAUUCUAUGGGGACCCACCCCUUCUUCUCUCCCCUCCCCAGCAUGGGCGCAGACCAGUCUCUUCUCCCAGGUUCCCUCUGAUGUGGCUUUCCACUUCCCUGUCCCUAGAGUAUUGCUCCCUCCUCUGCCACAGCUUUGUUUUCUAGUCUCCCAGGCAGUCUCUGCCCUGUCAAAUGGUUUCUAGACCUCCCAAGCAGUUUCCGCUCCACCCCGCCCCCCCCAGCCCGGGGACUAACCUCUGGAGCCUAGGUCUCGGUGCCCAGUCCUUUUAUUUCUUUUACUUCUCUGAUUGCCAUGGCUAGUACUUCCAAAACUAUGUUGAAGAGUAGUGGUGAGAGGGGACUUCCUUGUCUUGUUCCUGAUUUCAGUGGGAAUUCUUUCAGCAUUUCACCACUGAGAAUGAUGUUCGCUGUGGGUUUGUCAUAUAUGGCCUUUAUGAUGUUGAGGUAGGUUCCCUCUAUGCCCACUUUCUGAAGGGUUUUUUUUUUAAAUCAGAAAUGGGUGUUGAAUUUUGUCAACGCUUUUUCUGCAUCUAUUGAGAGGAUCAUAUGGUUUUUAUCCUUCAGUUUGUUAAUGUGAUGUAUCACACUGAUGGAUUUGUGGAUAUUGAAGAACACUUGCAUCCCUGGGAUAAAUCCCACUUGAUCAUGAUGGACAAUCCUUUUAAUGUAUUGUGGGAUGUGGUUUGAUAGUAUUUUGUUGAGGAUUGUUGCAUCAAUGUUCAUCAGUGAAACAGGCCUGUAGUUUUCUCUUUGUGUGGUAUCUUUGGUUUUGGUAUCAGGGUGAUGGUGGCCUCAUGGAAUGAGUUUGGGAGUAUCCCUUUUUCUGCAACUUUUGAAAUAGUUUCAGAAGGAGAGGUGUUAGCUCUUCUCUAAAUGUUUGAUAGAAUUCGCCUGAGAAGCCAUCUGGUCCUGGACGUUUGUUUGUUGGAAGGUUUUUAAUCACGGUUUCAAUUUCAGUACUUGUGAUUGGUUCCAUUCAUCUUUUCUAGUUCAUCUUGGUUUAGUCUUGGAAGAUUGUACUUUUCUAAGAAUUUGUCUGUUUCUUCUAGGUUUUCCAUUUUAUUGGUGUAUGGUUGCAUACAGUUGUCUCUUAUGAUCCUUUGUAUUUCUGUGAUGUCCGUUGUUACUCCUCCUUUUUCAUUUCUAAUUUUAUUGAUUUGAGUCCUCUCUCUUUUUUGAUUGAUAAGUCUGGCUAAGGGUUUAUCAAUAUUGUUGAUCCUUUCAAAGAACCAGCUUUUCAUUUCAUUGAUCUUUUCUAUGGUUUUCUUUUUUUUCUAUUUCAAUCAUUUCUGCUCUGAUCUUUAUGAUUGCUUUCCUCUACUAACUUCAGGUCUUGUCUGUUCUUCUCUCUUGAGCUGCUUUAGAUGUAAAGUUAGCUUGUUUAUUUGGGCUUUUUCUUGUUUCCUGAGGUGGGCUUGUAUUGCUAUAAACUUUCCUCUUAGAACAGCUUUUGCUGCAUCCCAAAGGUUUUGGAGUGUUGUAUAUUCAUUGUCAAUUGCUUCUAGGAAUUUUUUAAUUUCCUCUUUGAUUUCUUCAGUGAUCCAUUGGUUGUUUAGUAGCAUGUUGUUUAGUCUCCAUGUGUUGUGUUUUUUGCAGUUUUUUCUUGUUGUUAAUUUCCAGUCAUAUAACGCUGUGGUUGGAAAAGAUACCUGAUAUGAUUUCAAUUUUCUUAAAGUUACGGAGGCUUGAUUUGUGGCCCAGCAUGGGAUCAGUCCUACAGAAUAUUCUAUGUGCACUUGAGAGACAUGGGGGAAUGUCCUAUAAAUUCUAAGUCCAUCUGGUCUAAUGCUUCAUUCAGGGCUUGUGUUUCCUUAUUGAUUUUCUGUCUGGAUGAUCUUUCCAUUGCUGUAAGUGGGGUGUUAAAGACCCCAACUAUUAUUGUGUUAUUGUCAAUUUGUCCUUUUAAGGUUGUUAGCAGUUGCUUUAUAUAAUGAGGUGAUCCUAUGUUAGUUGCACAUAUAUUUAAAAAUGUUAUAUCUUCUUCUUGGAUUUAUCCUUUGAUCAUUAUGUAAUAUCCUUUCUUGUCUCUUAUAAUAUUUUUUUAAUUUUAAGGUCACUUUUGUCUGAUGUGAGUAUUGCUACUCCAUCUUUAUUUUGAUUUCCUUUUGCAUGGAAUAUUUUCUUCCAUCCUCUCACUUUCAAUUUGUAUGUGUCCCUAGAAGUGAAGUGGGUCUCUUGAAGACAGCAUAUAUAUGGGUCUUAUUUUUGUAUCCAUUCACCCAGUCUGUGUCUUUUGGUUGGGGCAUUUAGUUCAUUUACAUUAAGGUAAUUAUUGAUAUGCAUAUUCUUAUUUCCAUUUUAUUAACUUUUUUAUUUGUUUUUGUUGCUCUUUUUUCUUUCCUUCUUCCCUGGUUCUUGCCUGUUGUGGUUUGAUGAUUAUCUUUAUUGUUGCAUUUGAGUUGAUUUUUCUUAUUUGUUUGUGUAUCAAUUGUAGAUUUUUGGUUUGCAGUUAUGCUGAAGUUUUGAUAUAGGAGUCUAUAAGUUGUUGAUCUCUUGAUUGCAAGUGCAUCUCCAGUGUCCUGCAUUUGUACCUUCCUCUUCUCACGAUUUCUGAUUUUGGUAGCAUAUUUUUGCUUGGAUGAUUUCCUAUCUUUACUUCAUAUAUGCAUUUACUUGUGAGCCUUGUCAUUUGUGGUUUUUUUUUGUUUCUAGUUGUGGACUUUUCUUUUAUACCUAGAGAAGUUCAUUUAGUAUUUGUUGGGAGGCUGGUUUAGUUAUGCUGAAUUCUCUUAGCUUUUGAUUAUCUGUAAAGCUUUUGAUUUCUCCUUCAAAUAUGAAAGUAAUCUUGGUUGGAGGUAUUUUUCUUUCAUCAUAUUAAUUAUCUCAUGUCACUCCCUUCUGGCCUGUAGAGUUUCUGCUGAAAAUUCUGCCGAUAACCUUAUCGGGUUUCCCUUUUAGGUUAUUUGUUUCUUUUCUCUAGCUGCUUUCAGUAUUUUCUCUUCAUCUUUAGUUUUGGUGAGUUUGAUUAAUAUUUGUCUUGGAGUGUUCCUCCUUGGGUUUAUUUUACAUGAUACUCAUUGUGCUUCCUGGAUUUGAGUGAGUGGUUCUUUUCCUAUGUUAGGGAAGUUUUUGACUAUUAUCUCUUCAAAUACUUUUUCUGUCCCUUUCUCUCUCUUUUCUCCUUCUGGAACCCUUACAAUAUCGAUGUUGGUGCCUUUAAUAUUGUCCCAGAGUUAUCUGAGAUUCUCUUAAUUUCUUUUCAAUCUUUCUUCUCUUUUCUGUUCCACAUCAGUAAUUUCCACUAGUCUGUGCUCCACCUUGUUUUAUUUGUUCUUCUGCCUCCUGUAUACUGCUGUUGGUUGCUUCUAAUGAAUUUUUUUAUUUCAGUUAUUGUAUUUUACACCUCUGCUUUCUUAAGGUUUAAAUAUUAUAUUUCUUUGCUCAAUGUUUGCUGUAGAUUAUCAGUCUUUGCCUCCAGUUUAUUUCCAGUAUCUUGCAUCAACUUCAGCAUCAUCAUUCUAAAGUCUUUUUCCUGGAGGCUGAAAAUCUCCUCAUCGUUUAGCUGUUUUUCUGGGUUUUUUUUUCUUUCUCUUUGAGUUAUAGUUCUCUGCCUUUUCAUUUUUAUAGGUUUUGUUGUGGUGUCCUUUUUGCAGACAAUAGAGUUCUAACCUCUCUUCCUUCUGAUGUCUGCCCCUCUUGUGGCUCUAGUUGGUAGGGGGGCUAGCUGUAAGCUUCCUGAUGGGAGGGACUGGUGAGGGCCCACUUGUAGGUGGGGCUGAUUCCUCUCCCUCUGGUGGGUGGGUCUUUGUGGGUGAGAUUAGAUGUGGCUGUGUGUUUGGGGGUAUUUAUGCAGCCUGUUUACUGAUGUGUGGAUUUGUGAUACUACCUGGGUUAUUGUUUGGCCUGGGGCUUCUCAGUACUGUUGAGUGGGGCCAGGCCAUAUUUUCCCCAAAUGGGCACCUCUAGAGGAAUACACACUUAAGAAUAUUCUGGAAAACUUUGCCUCUAAUGUCCUCCCCCACAACAAGCCACAGUCGCCCCCUGUUUCCCAGGAGAUCCUCCAAGAACUGCAGUCAGGUCUGAACUAGAUUCCUAUGGAGACUCUGCUUUGCCCUGGGACCCAGAGUACAUGAAAGCCUGUGUGUUCCUUUCAAGUAUGGGGUCUCCAUUUCCCCUAGUACCAUGGAGCUCCUGUGCACAAGCCCUACUGGCCUUCAGUGCCAGAUGCUCUGGGGGCUUUCUCCCAGUGCCAGAUCCCCAAGCAUGGGACUUGAUGUGGGGCUCAGAACUCUCACUCCUGUAGGUGAGUCUCUGUGACACAGUUACUUUCCAGUCUGUGGGCUUCCCACCUGGCAUGUAUGCGGUUGCUUAUAUAUUGUAAUCGCCCCUUCUACUUCUUGAUGUGGCCUCUUCAUUGUCUUCUGGAAUAGAAUAUCUUUUUGAAAGUUUCAAGUCCAUUUGGUUGAAGGUUGUUCAGCAUUUUGUUCUAAUUUUGUUGUUUUUAUGAGAGAAGUUGACCUCUAGUCCUUCUAUUCCACCAACUUAAUCCCAUCUGACCUACGUAUAUCUUUUUGAAUUAAUGUUUUUGUUCUUCUCAGAAUGAAAUUCCUGGAUAUGUAGUUUUUUUUUUUUCAGUUUUUUGAGAAAUCUUAAUACUGUUUUCUACAGUGGCUACAGCAAUUUACAUUCCCACCAACAGUGUAUGAAGGUUC
This 6684-nucleotide long non-coding RNA is filed under the name Sus scrofa (pig). RNAcentral's name for it is "lncRNA (ENSSSCG00000051136.2)". Lineage: Eukaryota; Metazoa; Chordata; Mammalia; Artiodactyla; Suidae. The record is from RNAcentral.